AGCCCGGUGGUGUAGCGGUCAAGCAUGGCGGGCAGGCGCCCCGCAGAUCCGGGGUUCGAAUCCCCGCCGGGCUACCA
Molecule: transfer RNA, 77 nt
Filed under: Thermoprotei archaeon
Lineage: Archaea; Thermoproteati; Thermoproteota; Thermoprotei
Description: tRNA-Ala
Rfam family: tRNA
About the family: Transfer RNA (tRNA) molecules are approximately 80 nucleotides in length. Their secondary structure includes four short double-helical elements and three loops (D, anti-codon, and T loops). Further hydrogen bonds mediate the characteristic L-shaped molecular structure. tRNAs have two regions of fundamental functional importance: the anti-codon, which is responsible for specific mRNA codon recognition, and the 3' end, to which the tRNAs corresponding amino acid is attached (by aminoacyl-tRNA synthetases). tRNAs cope with the degeneracy of the genetic code in two manners: having more than one tRNA (with a specific anti-codon) for a particular amino acid; and 'wobble' base-pairing, i.e. permitting non-standard base-pairing at the 3rd anti-codon position.
Source: RNAcentral